GAGUUUGAUCCUGGCUCAGAAUCAACGCUGGCGGCGUGCCUCAGACAUGCAAGUCGAACGCGAAAGUCCCCUUCGGGGGGCAAGUAGAGUGGCGUCCGGGUGAGUAACACGUAGGUAAUCUACCUUCGGGUGGGGAAUAACGCAGGGAAACUUGCGCUAAUACCGCAUAAUGCAGCGGCACCACAUGGUGACAGUUGUUAAAGCGGGGGAUUUUCGAACCUCGCGCCUGAAGAGGAGCCUGCGGCAGAUUAGCUAGUUGGUAAGGUAACGGCUUACCAAGGCGACGAUCUGUAGCCGGCCUGAGAGGGCGGUCGGCCACACUGACACUGACAUACGGGUCAGACUCCUACGGGAGGCAGCAGUCGGGAAUUUUGGGCAAUGGGCGAAAGCCUGACCCAGCAACGCCGCGUGAAGGAUGAAAUCCUUCGGGAUGUAAACUUCGCAAGAAUAGGAAGAAUGAGCGAGUACUAAUACUGCUCGUGAUGACGGUACUAUUUGUAAGCUCCGGCUAACUCCGUGCCAGC
This 524-nucleotide ribosomal RNA is filed under the name uncultured Acidobacteriota bacterium. RNAcentral's name for it is "bacterial SSU rRNA". It matches the Rfam family "Bacterial small subunit ribosomal RNA", at positions 9 to 512 of the family's 1533-position model. Lineage: Bacteria; Pseudomonadati; Acidobacteriota. The record is from RNAcentral.